RNAcentral lists this transfer RNA (83 nucleotides) under Gammaproteobacteria bacterium. RNAcentral describes it as "tRNA-Leu". It matches the Rfam family "tRNA". Rfam says of the family: Transfer RNA (tRNA) molecules are approximately 80 nucleotides in length. Their secondary structure includes four short double-helical elements and three loops (D, anti-codon, and T loops). Further hydrogen bonds mediate the characteristic L-shaped molecular structure. tRNAs have two regions of fundamental functional importance: the anti-codon, which is responsible for specific mRNA codon recognition, and the 3' end, to which the tRNAs corresponding amino acid is attached (by aminoacyl-tRNA synthetases). tRNAs cope with the degeneracy of the genetic code in two manners: having more than one tRNA (with a specific anti-codon) for a particular amino acid; and 'wobble' base-pairing, i.e. permitting non-standard base-pairing at the 3rd anti-codon position. Lineage: Bacteria; Pseudomonadati; Pseudomonadota; Gammaproteobacteria. The record is from RNAcentral.
GGAUGUGGUGGAACUGGCAGACACGCUGGAUUUAGGUUCCAGUGCCGAAAGGCGUGGGGGUUCGACUCCCUCCAUCCCUACCA